Long non-coding RNA from Mus musculus (house mouse), 382 nucleotides. RefSeq annotates it as predicted gene, 36060. The record is from RefSeq and is a predicted model, not a curated record. NCBI's taxonomy places the organism in Eukaryota, Metazoa, Chordata, Mammalia, Rodentia, Muridae. The transcript is spliced from 3 exons.
AACACCUGUAGUUUGUCUUUUCUCCUCUUCCUCUCUACUUAAGGAAGAAUCUACAAUGAUCUGGGGUCAGCUGCUUGAAAUUUGGAUGUGAGUCAGGCCUGGGGUUACUACAAGUUUGUAUGUAAUCUUGGUCACCAAGGAAGCUGAGCAAGAGGACCACAAGUUCAAGACCAGCCUAGGCCUAGGAGAAGCCGGGCCUGCUCCCUAUAACCCCAAAGCUUAGCCCAGAGCCGGCUGGGAGUAGAAACUUAACAGCAUCUCCAGGAAACGCCAAGGAAAUGCUCAGGAGCACUGAGUUGAACGUGCAAGACUUCGUGGCACUAGAGCAAUAGAAACCCUAACACAGGAGGCGUGUCAUACAAACUUCCACAGCCUGAACAGA